Molecule: ribosomal RNA, 390 nt
Filed under: uncultured fungus
Lineage: Eukaryota; Fungi
Description: LSU rRNA
Rfam family: Bacterial large subunit ribosomal RNA
Source: RNAcentral
GAUUUAACGAAUUGUAAAAUUAAAAAUUCAGUGAUGUUUAAUUAACUUUAUCGGUGGCACAGACCAUACGGAGGCCCCGACUGUUUACAUAAAAACACAACACAGUGCAAUCAUUAAUAUGGUAGUAUACUGUGUGAAAUUUGCCCAAUGCCAUUAAUAUAAGAGAAGUUAUGGUCUUAAAAACUGUGACUAAUCGAAAAUCUGGUUAAUAGCGGUCUUAACUAUGAGGAUCCUAAGGUAGCAAAAUCAGUUGGCCAUUAAAUGUGGUCCGGUAUCAAUAAUGUAACGAUGGUCUCACUGUCUCUACAACUUGCUCAGUGAAAUUGAAUUACGCGUGCAGAUGCGCGUUGCCUUCAGGGGGACGGGAAGACCCUAUGCAGCUUUCACUGG